CCUACGGGAGGCUGCAGUGGGGAAUAUUGCACAAUGGGGGAAACCCUGAUGCAGCGACGCCGCGUGAGUGAAGAAGGAUUUCGGUAUGUAAAGCUCUAUCAGCAGGGAAGCAAAUGACGGUACCUGAUUCAGAAGCCCCGGCUAACUACGUGCCAGCAGCCCGGGUAAUACGGAGGGGGCAAGCGUUAUCCGGAUUUACUGGGGGUAAAGGGGGCGUAGACGGCAGCACAAGUCUGGAGUGAAAUGCCGGGGCUUAACCCCGGAACGGCGUUGGAAACUGUGCAGCGAGAGUGGAGGAGAGGUAAGUGGAAUGCGUAGUGUAGCGGUGAAAUGCGUAGAUAUUAGGAGGAACACCGGUGGCGAAGGCAGCUUACUGGACUGUAACUGACGUUGAGGCUCGAAAGCGUGGGGAGCAAACAGGAUUAGAUACCCUUGUAGUC
RNAcentral lists this ribosomal RNA (440 nucleotides) under uncultured bacterium. Its description in RNAcentral is "partial 16S ribosomal RNA". It matches the Rfam family "Bacterial small subunit ribosomal RNA", at positions 338 to 795 of the family's 1533-position model. The record is from RNAcentral.